Molecule: ribosomal RNA, 253 nt
Filed under: uncultured bacterium
Lineage: Bacteria
Description: partial 16S ribosomal RNA
Rfam family: Bacterial small subunit ribosomal RNA
Source: RNAcentral
CACGGGGGGAGCAAGCGUUGUUCGGAAUCACUGGGCGUAAAGGGCGUGUAGGCGGUCAAGUAAGUGGAAUGUGAAAGCCCCCGGCUUACCCGGGGAUCUGCAUCCCAAACUGCUUGGCUUGAGUACGGGAGAGGAUAGGGGAAUUCCUGGUGUAGCGGUGAAAUGCGUAGAUAUUAGGAGGAACACCGGUGGCGAAGGCGGCUAUCUGGACGACAACUGACGCUGAGGCGCGAAAGCGUGGGGAUCAAACAGG